UUUUGGAAGAGCUGCAAUACUGAAAAUGUGAAACUUCCUUCAUGAAGCUGACAAAACUGUUUGGCCCACGUGCCCUCAACUAGUUGGAGGCACCUGACCUACUAAGCCUAGAGGAGCUUUCUCGCCCAGCUGCAGAUUCAAACCAACACUGCCUUCCUUCCUUCCUUCCUUCGCCAGCAGAGAGACAACGGGCAGUUCAUCCCAUCUUAGAACAUGUGGGAAAACAGUCUCCUGCAGCAUCCCGGUGCUGGGGGUCCAUUUCCGAGGCUUUGAAGUGGCCAACCUCUCACCUCAUCUCAUACACAUGGAAAUCAGAUCACCAGGAGAAGGAGCAAGCUUGUAAAUCCCACGAAGAAGCCAACAGGGCAGCAAGUCAAUCCAUUUCUCUUUCAAGAGUGAGAUAGCGUGGCUGGACGAUACAUACCAAAGAGCCCUUUGAGCUUGCCUUCCUCACAUUUCAGGAAAAGGUGAGAAAAAAAUCUUUUUCUUGUUAAUGAAAAUUCAUUUUUUCUUUCUUUUUUUUUUUUUUUUUUGGUAUGCUCCUUCAUUCAUUUUUUUUUGAGGCCUUCCACCUCUGUUAACUGUGGGAAAAGGCUUCCCUUUGCUAGAGUACAGCAUGCAUUGUAAAAGUAAUUCAAUUUUACACCAUAGCAAUGACACGAUCAAGGGAACGUUGAGCAAACUUUGUGACCAAGAGCAUUUAACAACUACGUGAAAAGCUCCCAAAGAGUCCUCCUGAAAGAAAGAAAGGUUGUAACAAUAGGAGAGAUUGGUCGAUAGUGGUAAAUUAAGAGUCAUACUAGUGACUCUAAUCAGGUUAGACUUUAAAGAGAAGAACCUUUACAUCUCUUGAGCGUAGGCCUGACUGCAUUAAAAACUCUUCAAUGUGCGUUGAGAAGUGCGCAACCCCCUCUGAUGCUCAGCACUUGCUCCUCCUUGGGUUGAAGCAUUCAGCCCUGCAAGGGACAAAGACAUCCUAGGCAAAAAAUGUCAAACUGCAAAUUUGGACCAGAAGU
This 1016-nucleotide long non-coding RNA is filed under the name Numida meleagris (helmeted guineafowl). Its description in RNAcentral is "lncRNA (ENSNMEG00000017682.1)". The record is from RNAcentral. Lineage: Eukaryota; Metazoa; Chordata; Aves; Galliformes; Numididae.